Molecule: ribosomal RNA, 492 nt
Filed under: uncultured bacterium
Lineage: Bacteria
Description: partial 16S ribosomal RNA
Rfam family: Bacterial small subunit ribosomal RNA
Source: RNAcentral
AGUGAACGCUGGCGGUAGGCCUAACACAUGCAAGUCGAACGGCAGCACAGUAAGAGCUUGCUCUUACGGGUGGCGAGUGGCGGACGGGUGAGGAAUACAUCGGAAUCUACUUUUUCGUGGGGGAUAACGUAGGGAAACUUACGCUAAUACCGCAUACGACCUACGGGUGAAAGCAGGGGAUCUUCGGACCUUGCGCGAUUGAAUGAGCCGAUGUCGGAUUAGCUAGUUGGCGGGGUAAAGGCCCACCAAGGCGACGAUCCGUAGCUGGUCUGAGAGGAUGAUCAGCCACACUGGAACUGAGACACGGGCCAGACUCCUAGGGGAGGCAGCAGUGGGGAAUAUUGGACAAUGGGCGCAAGCCUGAUCCAGCCAUACCGCGUGGGUGAAGAAGGCCUUCGGGUUGUAAAGCCCUUUUGUUGGGAAAGAAAAGCAGCAGGGUAAUACCCCGCUGUUCUGACGGUACCCAAAGAAUAAGCACCGGCUAACUUCGUG